AGAUGAGGUCUUGAUCCCCAUCCGACACCUUCUGAAUCAGACACGGUGAGGCCCAGCAAUCUGUUUUCACGGCCUUCCAGGUGAUUUUGAGGGCAAUUCAAGCUGCUGGAACAAGACCGAGAUAUAAAGGAGCCAGUGCAAUAUUUCAACAGUGUGGAGGAGGUGGCUAAGGCAUUUCCUGAACGCGUGUACGUCAUGGAGGAUAUCACAUUCAACGUGAAGGUUGCGUCAGGUGAAUGCAAUGAAGACACUGAAGUUUACAACAUCACCCUGUGUACUGGGGAUGAACUCACUCUAAUGGGGCAGGCAGAAAUCCUUUAUGCAAAGACAUUCAAGGAAAAGUCACGACUCAACACAAUCUUCAAAAAGAUUGGGAAGCUCAAUUCCAUCAGCAAGCUGGGAAAAGGCAAAAUGCCGUGCCUCAUUUGUAUGAAUCACCGGACCAACGAAAGCAUUAGCCUUCCAUUCCAGUGCAAGGGUAGAUUUAGCACCCGAAGUCCCCUGGAACUUCAGAUGCAAGAGGGUGAACACACCAUCCGCAACAUUGUGG
Molecule: small RNA, 550 nt
Filed under: Pongo abelii (Sumatran orangutan)
Lineage: Eukaryota; Metazoa; Chordata; Mammalia; Primates; Hominidae
Description: processed transcript
Source: RNAcentral